GCAUCGGUGGUUCAGUGGUAGAAUGCUCGCCUGCCACGCGGGCGGACCGGGUAUGUUUCCCGGCCACAGCA
Molecule: transfer RNA, 71 nt
Filed under: Haemonchus placei
Lineage: Eukaryota; Metazoa; Nematoda; Chromadorea; Rhabditida; Trichostrongylidae
Rfam family: tRNA
About the family: Transfer RNA (tRNA) molecules are approximately 80 nucleotides in length. Their secondary structure includes four short double-helical elements and three loops (D, anti-codon, and T loops).
Source: Rfam by way of RNAcentral